AACGAACGCUGGCGGCAUGCCUAACACAUGCAAGUCGAGCGCCCGUAGCAAUACGGGAGCGGCGCACGGGUGAGUAACGCGUGGGAACCUGCCCAGAGGUCUGGGACAACCGCGGGAAACUGCGGCUGAUACCGGAUGAUUCCUGAGGGACAAAGAUUUUAUCGCCUUUUGGAGGGGCCCGCGUCGGAUUAGGUAGUUGGUGGGUAACGGCUCACCAAGCCUAUGAUCCGUAACUGGUCUGAGAGGAUGACCAGUCACACUGGGACUGAGACACGGCCCAGACUCCUACGGGAGGCAGCAGUGGGGAGUAUUGGACAAUGGGGGCAACCUGAUCCAGCAAUGCCGCGUGGGUGAUGG
RNAcentral lists this ribosomal RNA (357 nucleotides) under uncultured bacterium. RNAcentral's name for it is "bacterial SSU rRNA". It matches the Rfam family "Bacterial small subunit ribosomal RNA", at positions 29 to 411 of the family's 1533-position model. The record is from RNAcentral.